Molecule: ribosomal RNA, 774 nt
Filed under: uncultured Terriglobales bacterium
Lineage: Bacteria; Pseudomonadati; Acidobacteriota; Terriglobia; Terriglobales
Description: bacterial SSU rRNA
Rfam family: Bacterial small subunit ribosomal RNA
Source: RNAcentral
AGAGUUUGAUCCUGGCUCAGAAUCAACGCUGGCGGCGUGCCUAACACAUGCAAGUCGCACGAUAAAGGGUAGCAAUACCUGAGUAAAGUGGCGCACGGGUGAGUAACACGUGACUAAUCUACCCUCGAGUGGGGAAUAACUGAGAGAAAUCUUAGCUAAUACCGCAUAACACUUACGAGUCAAAGCAGCAAUGCGCUUGGGGAGGAGGUCGCGGCCGAUUAGCUAGUUGGCGGGGUAAUGGCCCACCAAGGCGAUGAUCGGUAUCCGGCCUGAGAGGGCGCACGGACACACUGGAACUGAAACACGGUCCAGACUCCUACGGGAGGCAGCAGUGGGGAAUUUUGCGCAAUGGGGGAAACCCUGACGCAGCAACGCCGCGUGGAGGAUGAAAUAUCUUGGUAUGUAAACUCCUUUCGAUGGGGAAGAUAAUGACGGUACCCAUAGAAGAAGCCCCGGCUAACUUUCGUGCCAGCAGCCGCGGUAAUACGAGGGGGGCAAGCGUUGUUCGGAUUUAUUGGGCGUAAAGGGUGCGUAGGCGGUUUGGCAAGUCUUAUGUGAAAUCUAUGGGCUCAACCCAUAGUCUGCAUAAGAAACUGCCGGGCUUGAGUAUGGGAGAGGUGAGUGGAAUUUCCGGUGUAGCGGUGAAAUGCGUAGAUAUCGGAAGGAACACCUGUGGCGAAAGCGGCUCACUGGACCAUAACUGACGCUGAGGCACGAAAGCUAGGGGAGCAAACAGGAUUAGAUACCCCUGGUAGUCCUAGCCCUAAACGAUGA